Long non-coding RNA from Apus apus (common swift), 6064 nucleotides. RefSeq lists it as uncharacterized. Lineage: Eukaryota; Metazoa; Chordata; Aves; Apodiformes; Apodidae. The record is from RefSeq and is a predicted model, not a curated record. The transcript is spliced from 2 exons.
CGUCUUUUUCACUCUGUCAGGCCUGAGCUGCAAAGGGCUGGAAUCCUUUUAGCAUUUUAACUCUUCCUGGGCAAACAUCCUGUUCUGUCCCUGCCCUCCUGAAGUGCAGGAGCUCUUUUUUCAGGGGGGAAAAAGAUCCACAAACCCAGGGAACUAUUUGCACUUGUGUUUGGUGACAUCUGCUUGACUGCAACCACCACGGAAUGCAGAUCUACAGCCUUUUAACCCUAUUCUCCAGGGCAGCAAUUUUGUGCUCUAGUUCUUCCAGGCUCUUAUUUGUCACCUUUUUUCUUCCAAGGAGUAGGAGAUGUAGCUUCUCUCUUCAGAAAAGCUUUGGUUGCUUCCCCUGAGAGCACAGAUCAGGGCAGAGAUCCCCACAGGAUAACAUAAACCUUUCCCCAGGGCAAACAUCCUUGAACUAGUUUGAACUGAAAGCUCCCAGUUUCUCUGUGCCUUUGACUGGAAAAUGGAAAUAUUCCAGGGGCUGUGGCAUGAUUAAAGAUUGCCUUGUCCCCAGUGCCUGGUGCCAGGCUGCAGAAUCUCCUCCUCCCACUUCUGCUUGCACAGAUUGGGCCCAUAGGAGUGAAUGAAAACAGGGAAGAAACACAGACCUAGGGUAGAAAACAGAGAAAGAAGGACUUUUGGGGGGCUUUUCCAUUCUUUGCCCUACAGCUCUGAGCCACCAGUCAUCUGUGUCCCUUCCAGGCAGUGGACUCAAGAAGAUGUCUUGAUGUUUGCUCCAGUUUUAGUUCUGGUUUGGAGCUGGGUUCUGUUUCCAGAACAUCUGAGUCCAUUUGGAGAGUUCUUGCUGGACCCCUGGUCACUAAUCUCCCAGGUCUCCUCUCUGAAGAUUUUUGCUCUAGGUUCAGGUUGCUGCACUCACAGGGUUUAGCACCACCUGAGUCUUGUUACUAUUUUUUUAAGUCAGCUUCUGUGAGGUUUGGUUCUAUCUGUUUGUAAUCGCUGCCUUCCCCAGGCCCUGCAGUGCAGCAUUUCCAAGCUCAGUUUGCAAACAGACUCGGUGGGGCAGCAUUUCUGCUGGAUGAAUGUGCUGCAGAUCCCUCAUCCUUGCAGCUCAUCCGAGAGCUGGGCAAGAGGGAGCAAGAUCCUCUCCUCCUGCAGCUACAGAGCCCUCAGCAAACUCCACAACCACUGUAACCGAGUCCACAGCCUCCAGGGGAGGUGCUGAUGGUUUGUCACACACAGAACUGCAGACGUGGCAGAGCUGAGGUGCUGUUUCCAUUGCUUUAACUGCUGAGGGGACAGCUCAGGAGGCUGGGUAGAAAUAUCUCCUACCUGCAGCUUUGCAGAUCUCAGGAUAUCCAGCCCUGUCUUUCCCUGCUGCCUUCCCUCUUUGUUUUAGGGGGGUAAAAGCAGAUGAAGGCAGAGGGCCGGGCCCCCAGAGCUGCAAGGCAGCAGCCACACCUGCAGAGCUGUGUUCAGCUCCCCCUCGCCUGCUUUUUGGUGGGUUAGGAAGGAGUUAAACGACAGGAGAGGGAGAGGCUGUGCUAUUGUUCAGGCAUCCCUGGGUCCAGGGUGGCCGCUCUCUAUUCCCGGAUCUGCCUCUGGUUUCCUGCAUGACCUUGGACCGCUCACUUACCUUUUCUUUUCCUUAGCUCCCAAAUUACAGCAUGGAAAUCAUUCCCUUCCUGUGCUGCCUCGUUCCCUGCAGGUUUCAGAGGGGCUGAGAUUCUCUGGUGGGAGAGGGUGGGAGGAGGAAAGAACACAUCUCCACUGGAGGAAUGUUGAGGCAGGGUGUAGUGAUUUCAGGACGUGCUCUUGUUCACUCACCUACAGCUCGGGCUGUGAGAUUUGGGAUGGGGGUUUUUUAGCAGGCAAACCAGUGGUGAAAGUCAAAUUCCGUUUGUCGUGGCUGCAGCUGCCCCAGCGCGAUGCCAGCUGCACUGAGCCUUGUCCUCACUAGAUGGUGCUUGUGAUCCAAGAUUUGGGAUCGCCGGUUCUCUGCACAGAAGUCCCUAAUUUUCCUUCCCCCGUCUCCAUCCCUUUCCCUCUUCUUUCUGUGCUGUAACACUACGGGGGAGACUUCAUGAUGCCGGAUGUUGGUCUGGUGGCCCUGCAGGCUCCAGCCCCUCUGCCGGGCUCUGGGUUUUGGAGCCUGUCUCGGUGCUGCUGGGCUGUGGCAGGGAAUUGAAUUCUUGCCGUGUUUUCUAUUCCCAUAAGGAAAAGGCUUCAAAGAGCGGGUCCCCUCCCCCUCUCUGCUGGUGAAGGGCAUUUAGGGAAGCUGGGGAAAAAAACCCAAACAAUCCAGCCCUGACAGAUGCAUUUAUUGAACAAACCUCUGCCUUUCCCCACCUCAGCAGAAGAUUGGUGGAACUGCUGCUUUUACAUCCAUCUUUGUAUUCAGGAGCUGGUUACCUAGCCAAGGUCACGGCUGCUGCAUGCCAGUGGCAAGCAGCCUCCUCUUCCUUGAAUGAGCAUGGAAUUCAGUACAGCUUCCCCAGGUGAGGCACGGGAAUGGGCUGGAAUCUGCCAGCACAGGGUCCCGAGCUGCUGCUGGGCAGAGCGAGCCCCGGGGGCAGCCUUCCCUUUCACACCGGCUGCAGAGACUGAACGAGAUGGUAAUCAAACGUUUCCUGUGCAGACAUGCACGGGGAUGGGUUAUUGGCUGGUCCAGCAUGAGGCACAGCAGGGUGUGUGGGGCUGGGCUGUCACCACCUCUCACAGCCUGCGCAGGGCACCCCAAGACCACAGCCAUCCCUGCUGCCCCAGCACCCCAGGAGCACAGCCAGACCACAGCCAUCCCUGCUGCCCCUUCCCAGCCCACCCCGAGACUCUGGCCUGCAGCCAUGGUGUUGGGUCAUAGGCUGGGCUUUAUGAUCUUAAAGGUCUUGUCCAGCCUUGGUGAUUCUGUGAUCCUGUGUUUGGGCACCUGGGUGGGCUGGCAGGGCUACCAGUGCCCACCCCUCCAUGCCAGGCUGCCAGGUUACAUCACCUCCAGCUCCCUCCCCAUGGAAUUUUACAGCCAUGAAUGAAUGGGGCUGGGUUGCCCCCGUGAUACCCAUCAGCUGUGCUCAGAUUUGUAGUCUGAGAGGUGAUGCUCCUGCCUCUGGCUCUGCAGAGGUGCCAGCAACUCCCUGUGUGUGCUGACAAGCCCCAGGAGGGUGCCCACAGCAGCCCUGUCCUCACAUGCCAGGUCAGUGAUGUCCCCACAGCAGGGACAUGAGCUGCAGGGUGACACAAACCUCUCAGCACUGGGAGCUGACAGUGAUUUCUUUGUCAUUCCCCUGUUGUCAUUUUCUCACCCCACACACAUUUGUUCAUGGUUAGGCAGAUAUUGCUGAUGACUAAACCCUGGGUCUGCAUCCCAGAGAAAACCUUCUGAGGAGCAGCCCAGAACUGCAGGGCUCAAACUCUAAGGAGACUGAGGAGUGAGGACAGUGCAUUUCCUCACAUUCAUCAGAUCCAGGGAGAAAACCACUCUCCCAGCCCCUCCUGGCUGAGAGGGAAUUGCAUCACUGGCUCAUGCAGAUAGGUAUUUUUUUUUUCCCCCCCUUGAAAUCUGCUCCUUUUAUUCUCUUUCCCCGAUGGAAUUUGCCAGCGUGUCCCAAACAAUGUGGUUCUGCAAUUGAAAGCAACAUACCUGUGUGGGGGAGAGAAUGACUGGUUUUCAGUUUGCAAUCUGGCUCUUCCCUCCCUCCUUCCUUUUCCCCACAUCCCCAUGUGUUACAGAGCCAGCUGCUCCCGGAAUAGUUUGGGAAUGAAAUGUCACCGUUUGAAACUGCUGGAUCCCAGUGCCUCCUCAGACAGGACUAGGUUGGAUCAGUCUGACAACACACACACCUACAGUGACUCUCUUAAUUAAGUCUCCCUGCACUGCUGUGAGGUAUGUAAUUACAGUGAGACAUGACUUAAGCAACCACUUGAGGGACUAAGGAAAAAAAUCAUUCUUUACCAGAGCAGGGAGGAACAGAAUUUCACUGAAUACAUUUUAUGUAUAUAUUUUUUUUUGCGGGGGAAGUUUAUUAAACAAAGGGGGCUAAUGAUGCUUGUUUCUCUUUGGUGUAUCCCCAUAUUGGCAUGAUGGUUUUACUAUACUGUGUUAACAUCAUCAGGGUUUGUUUUUUUUAUUCCUGCCAAACUGAUACUUGAAUUCUUUUGUCUUUUAACAGAGAUUUGCUAUAAAAAAAGAAGUGUCAAUUGGUGCAAACGCUGGCACUGGGCUUGCGAAAUGAGCUAUUGUUUAUCAGAAGCUGGGUGGUUGUCCCUCCCUGCCCAACCCCAGCCCAGUGGUAAAAAUAUUUAGUCAAAGGGCAACAUUCAGAAUUCCUGCUCCAAGGUAUUAUAACCACCCAUUUUUAUGACUCCACAUGGCUGCUCUGUCUAGUAGGUACCAGGGUAUGAAAGUACCACAGUAGUUGUGAUACUAACGGUGUCUCCCAAAGAGCUCCAGCAGUUCCAUGUGGACUGGUUUCCCGUUUCCCUGGCCCAGCCUGCUGUCAGAGGACCCUGCCUGGUGCUGGAGGUGAGGGGCUGGACUGUGCAUCACCACUCACAGCCCAGAGUACUCAUCAAAGCUGCCAGCAAUUCCAGGUUGCAUUGCUAUUGUUCCAAGCACUGAUCUGUGGUGGCCACGGAGAAGAUCUGCCAGCCAUGCUCCAGCCUCUGCUUCAACAGUAAUGAUCUCCAACUGAAGGACAGGAAGAAGCUGGAAAUAGUAAUGUCAUAAAUAGUCCCAGAAUGGGCUGGCAGCCCUUCCCUCCAGUCCCACCUUCAGUGGCAUUCCCAAUACUCCCAAAUUGCAAGUCAAGCUUGCAGCCAGCUUGGUGGGGAUUUUGCAAGCACAGGCCCUAGGGGAUUUGAUGCCAUCUCUCUAUUUUAUUUGGUAGGCUGAGCUAGUAGCAAGAUUUUAUGAAGUGUGCAUUUCUAUCUCGAAUUUUACGUGGUGUUAAAUACAACCCCUCAUUCUCUAUUGUCACUGGAUUUGACAACAAUAAUCUCUGGCUGCAGAAAUUUGCUGCAGAGCCUGAGAUCUUGUUUAAUACAAAAUAAAACAACCUCAGAGACAACCCUGAGAAGUCAAAUCUGACUGACAAUUCCACAUGCCUUUUCCUCAGCAGCAAAGCCCCCCUCUUAACUUUUUGUGUAUCAUUGUUGCCCUUUUUUCUUCACUCAGACUGUUUCAGUGAUCUGGGGUCUGCACUGCAGGUCUGCAAAGAGUUGAACCAGCAACACUGCAGGAGCUGGAAGUUGUGGCAGCAACGUAGGAGUGAGCCAAGGAACUGGGUAAGAAAAGGAUAACCCUCUGGGUACCUUCUGUGCUGUCAAGUUUGAACUUUCAGCUAUUCCAGAGCGGUAACUCUAAGAGCUCUGAAUGCCAGUGGAUGGUCAGUUCUGAAGCAUAAGAACAGUAUUUUAGUGAUAUUGUGUUCUUAAGCCUCUGUUUCUUCUAGCACAGGUGUCUGCCUAGUAUGUUUACAUCCCCAAAUCCCUAAUGGGGAUUCCCUUUGGCUUGCAGUUGCCUGCAGAGAACUCCCAGAUCAUGCUGGCCAUGAUCAGGAUAAAUACUUCCUAUUGAAAAGUAGCUUUUUUCUUAGAAUGGGGUUAGUGUCAGUUCAAACUGAGUAACAAAAGAUGAAUUUACUGAGUAUAUGGAGUACUGGGUUCAGUAAGCCUUUGAAGUUUCAAAGAUAAGCAAUUAUUUGUUUCAAACUUAAUGGAUUUUUACCCAAAACAAAGAAUUUUGCCUCAUCACCUAAGUGGGGUUUCCCAGGGUGCCUGAGACCACACAUCCUCAGCCUCUUAGACCCUGGCUAAAACUGCCAAAGUGUGGGAGCCUUCCUGACAUGAACAAGCAUUCCAGUGAAUUCUGAAAGGCCAAGAUUACUACUGAUUUGUUUUGGAGGAAAAAAUAAAUAAAAAGGACAAGCAAAAUGAGGUUGAACACUCGUUAGUGAAGCAUUGUCAGAACACAAUGGCAGAACAGACAAAAGCCAGUUCAGAUUCUGUGGUAUUUCCUACAGGGCUCCCUCUUGCACAUGGCUGUUCCCUGCCAAUCCUGGUGUAUUGUUUUUGAUAAUGAAUAGAAGCUGAACAGAUGAUUGUU